RNAcentral lists this long non-coding RNA (1289 nucleotides) under Oryzias javanicus (javanese ricefish). RNAcentral describes it as "lncRNA (ENSOJAG00000010075.1)". The record is from RNAcentral. Lineage: Eukaryota; Metazoa; Chordata; Actinopteri; Beloniformes; Adrianichthyidae.
GACAGGUGUUAAAAAAUUGUCAACCUAAAAAACUUUCAAACUGGUCGGCUCUGAUUUUUAGUAUUGAAAAAAGUCAGUUAGUGAAACUUGAAUUGACAAAAGAGCAGAACAGAAAACAUCACAUAAACUCUCCUAAACUGAUCGUUCUGGUCUGUCUUUCUGCUUCUCAGGUUCUGAGGAUUGACCUCUGACCUUGUCUGAGAUCUUUACGAAGAGGCUGAAGCCCUCGGCGGAUUUCAGCAGCAGUCUGGUGGAGAUAUUCUGGCAGAAAUCCUUCGCUUUGGUGCUGGACUCCACCUCAAACGCCUGCAGGGUGAAAAGAAAAAACAAAUUUACGCAGGAGAAAUUUUAAAGGUUAUUUUUAAAUUUAUUGGUUGUUUUAAGUGUGCCGCACCUCAUCUGUGUCAUCGGGGAAGUAGACCUUGUGGAAGAUUUGGGUGGUUUUGUGCUGGAUGGCCUCCACUUCCACCAAAUGAGGCGGAUACUUUCUGGAUCCAUUACUGUCACCAAAACAAGAACAAACUGAGAACAUUAUCAACACCAAACAUUCUGCAGACAGCGGGUGGUGCUUCUUGGACUGGAGGAAGCGCUGGAUGUGCGGGAGCAGCACGUUGCUGGGGGGGAACAGGCCCGUGCACAGCCACAGCAGCUCCCAGCCUUUCUCCUCGCUGUACCUGCAGCAGCAGCAGCGCUCAGCGCUGGAAGACCGCUCAACCAGAGCAGCACCCGACGCACCGCUUCCCGAGAAGGAUUCACCGACGCACUUGUCGUGGUUGUCCGUGAGCUGCUUGAGGAUCUGACAGUAGAUCUCGUCUUUCAGAGGCUCGCCCUUCAGCGCCCCCUCAAAGAUCUGGUCUGUCAGCUCGUUGACGGAUCGCGUCCGCUUGGAGGGGUAGUCGCCCAUGUACUUCAUCAUAGGUGGGUUUGAAGUCAAGAAAUUCACAAGGUUAGAAUCUGAAUUAGAGAGUUAUCCAGAGAGUUCCCAGCGGUCUUUUAAUUAUGAUUAAGCCCUUUUGAGGCUCAAUUUAGAAAAAAAAACUGUCAUUUUCUAGAACAUAGUUCUGCAGAGCGGCAGCUGUUCAUUAGAAAUUCACCUCUAAAUUGUGGACUGAACCAUUUGCAUAGAGUAAACCCGCCCCCAUUCCCAUUAUCCAUCUGUUUAUAGUCUCUCCCGCUAGCUCACAGCCCCUCACAACCUCAAUCUAACAUUAGCGGAGCAACAAAAACGACAAGCAAUAUCAGAGCUAUCCAGCCAUAAAGUUUACAGGCAGAUACCAGCUAAGAUGAGG